GACAGAGGGUGCAACCGUUGUUCGGAAUUACUGGGCGUAAAGCGCGUGUAGGCGGCUCUGCAAGUCGGAUGUGAAAUCCCACGGCUCAACCAUGGAAGUGCAUUCGAAACUGCAGGGCUAGAGUCCUGGAGAGGAAGGUGGAAUGCUUGGUGUAGAGGUGAAAUUCGUAGAUAUCAGGCGGAACACCGGUGGCGAAGGCGGCCUUCUGGACAGUGACUGACGCUGAGACGCGAAAGCGUGGGGAGCAAACAGG
Molecule: ribosomal RNA, 253 nt
Filed under: uncultured bacterium
Lineage: Bacteria
Description: partial 16S ribosomal RNA
Rfam family: Bacterial small subunit ribosomal RNA
Source: RNAcentral